Molecule: small RNA, 207 nt
Filed under: Hortaea werneckii EXF-2000
Lineage: Eukaryota; Fungi; Ascomycota; Dothideomycetes; Mycosphaerellales; Teratosphaeriaceae
Description: A. fumigatus sRNA Afu_182
Rfam family: A. fumigatus sRNA Afu_182
Source: Rfam by way of RNAcentral
AUAUGAACAACGCAAAUUAUCAACACUGCCUUAAAAGCAUUUUCGAUUCGAGAGCCCGCUGUGCUUCAAACGCGCAGUGUGUCCGGCUCCAUGACGACGAAAACCGUCUGUGCUAGUGGAGAGGAAAGGUCAGAGGAUCUUGGGUGCCGUUGGCUUCUAGUCUUUUUCAUAGGACGGUGAGGUCGAGGGCAAUGAUCAGCUGUACAU